RNAcentral lists this ribosomal RNA (460 nucleotides) under uncultured bacterium. RNAcentral's name for it is "partial 16S ribosomal RNA". It matches the Rfam family "Bacterial small subunit ribosomal RNA", at positions 338 to 795 of the family's 1533-position model. The record is from RNAcentral.
CCUACGGGUGGCAGCAGUGAGGAAUAUUGGUCAAUGUGCGGAAGCCUGAACCAGCCAAGUAGCGUGCAGGAUGACGGCCCUACGGGUUGUCAACUGCUUUUAUACGGGAAUAACGCGCCUUACGUGUAGGGCUUUGCAUGUACCGUAUGAAUAAGGACCGGCUAAUUCAGUGCCAGCAGCCGCGGUAAUACGGAAGGGCUGGGCGUUAUCCGGAUUUAUUGGGUUGAAAGGGAGCGUAGGCGGCAUGUCAAGCGUGCUGUGAAAUGUCCGGGCUCAACCCGGGCCUUGCAGCGAGAACUGGCGGGCUUGAGUCCGCGGAAAGCAGGCGGAAUUCGUCGUGUAGCGGUGAAAUGCUUAGAUAUGACGAAGAACCCCGAUUGCGAAGGCAGCUUGCUGCAGCGGAACUGACGCUGAUGCUCGAAAGCGCGGGUAUCGAACAGGAUUAGAUACCCUUGUAGUC